Molecule: long non-coding RNA, 6636 nt
Filed under: Lactuca sativa (garden lettuce)
Lineage: Eukaryota; Viridiplantae; Streptophyta; Magnoliopsida; Asterales; Asteraceae
Description: long non-coding RNA (LSAT_LNC000381)
Source: RNAcentral
GGAACUCGUGGGGAGCUAAGAGAUUCAUCAGUUGUCAUUCUCUGGAAGGUAUUAAGCUGUUCCUUUAGCUCAUCUCUCUUUUAAACUCUUUUGGAUGGGUCUUAUGAAAGGCUCCCCAUGUUUAAGCUAAGAUCUGAAGUUGUAACUUCAGAUCUGGACUCCCUUUGACCUCUAGAUCCAUAAAGUCAUCAGCCUUGCCUAGUAGGAGGCUUCCCUCAAGUGUGAGACUUCAUUGUAAGCUUAGUUUUGCCAUUUAAGGGUCUUAAAGCCUUGCAUGCNCUUGCAUGCACGUAAAGUUUGUGACUUUACGUGAUAAACAUACCCUAGAAGCGUGGAUCUGUAAUUUGGAACCUUGCCUUGGCUUAAAACGCGUUUGCAUGAAUGAAGGUCUGUAAGGACUCGGCGAGUUGGAUGAAGAACUCGGCGAGCCCGUUGAAGAUGGCCAUGAACUCAACGAGUUGGAUGAACAACUCGACGAGUUCGUUGAAGAUUGCCUUGGAAUCGGCAAGUUGUUCGACGAAUUGGCGAGUCGGCUAGGGUUUCUCCCAAUUCUUGGACACAUAUGAACUCGGCGAGUUAAAUGAGAACUCGACGAGCCAAUCAGGGAUUUCACGACUUCUCGAGUUCAGGAAGGACUCGACGAAUCGGUGAACUGCACUCGAUGAGUCGAGUCAGCAUGGACUGUUGACUUUGACUGUGGACUUUGACUUGGACCAAGGGUUGACCAGUUGACUUCUGAGGGUAUUCCGGUAAUUUAGAGAUUUAUGAGAAAGGGUUUUAUGGUAACUAUAGGUGGUGGAAUUCAUGUUGGUGAUCCGGGAGUCAAGCUUUCUAGUUUCAGACGACAGUUGCAAGGUGAGUUAUCCUCACUAUACUAAGGGGUCUAAGGCACCAAGGCUGGCCCAUUGGAUAUGUCAUCCUAGCAGCGUUAGAUGUUGAGUAUGAGUUAGUGUUGCAUGCUAGUGGUUAUGUCAGUUAGGUAGACCUGUAGGACUACCUGUGAUGUUAUGUGAUUAUUGCAUAUUCAGUGGUUAUGUUAUGUGUUUCUUAUAUGGGAUGGGUUGAGGUUGUACUGCUUCAUGCGGUAGCCAACUAACCCUAGGAGCAUUCCAGUUACGAGCUAAGGGACACUCGUACUGUGGGCUUGGGGGGCAUUCCAGUUACGGGCUAAGGGAGACUCGUAUUGUGGGCUCGUGGGUAUUGCAGUCUGUAGGGCUGUGGACCCGUUAUGUACUAUUAUGUUCAUUUUGUGAUGAUAUGUUAUUGCUGACGCGGUUAUGUGGACUGUAUGUGUAUCGGUAUUUUGGGGGUAACUCACUAAGCUUUUGGGCUUACAGUUUCAGUUUAUUGUUUCAGGUACAUCAGGGGAUCGCGGCAAGGCGAAGGCAUGAUUGUAUAGCCCCUCAUAUUAUGUUUAUAUUUCUGGGAAUACUCUGAUAUAUAAUAUUUUGAAAACAAAGUUGUAAUGUUUUGAUGAAGUUGACAUGUUUUAAAGUUUAAAUUGGUUUGAAAUUUUUGGGUGUUACAAGUUGGUAUCAGAGCCUUGGUUUGAGUGAAUUGGAGGAACACUCGUGUAACUCCAAUCUCAAAUCAAGGAAAGGAAUUUCAAAAUGAUUUUUUAAGGGUUUUCAAAAUAAAUAAAGGAGGAUGCAGGGUGUACGAUCAGCCGGAGCCAGUAAGUAGACCCCAAAAUACCAUACAAGUUAUUUGAUUAUGGAUAUGUUAGAAUAGCAUGUUAGUAUUAGGCUAGGGAUCUUCAGAAAUUGCACAAUAGAAUUGUCUGAUUUCAUGAUGCCUGCUAGCCUAGGGUUUCCUUUAUAUGAAAUUGACAUCAUUACUGUAGUUGCUUAGUGUAUGCAUCACAGUUAUAUAUAAUUAAGAUCUUAUAGCCUGAGAAUGUUUGAUUUAGCCUUAUGUUCUGUUCUUGUUUUAUUGGGAGCUUAGGGUAGGAUUGGAUAUUCGAAAGUCUAUAGGGUCCAGCGUUAUGUAUGGCUAGCAUACACUAGUGCUACAGGGUUGGUGGGAGUUUCAUGGAUAGGUGGGUUGAGUUAGGCCGGGAGGCCAGUUAUGAGAUGUUCAUCAUUCCUCUAUGGUGAGAAUUGAGUGCUCGUUAUGUUGUGUAUUCAGUUAGGGCAUUGUGAUGAUGCUUGAGACAACUAUGGGUAGGUAUGGAAGGUAGUAUGGGCCCGUACUACUAAAAGCACAGGACCCAUAUGUGUGUCAAGUAAGUCACAAUCCCUAGGGUUAGUAGGGAACUAUCUCCCAGUUAUUUAUAUUGAUUAUUUGAUAUCUUGUGGUAUGUUUCAAAAUGGUGAUGACGAGGCACAUUGUGGCUGGAUCCGGUUCGGGAUCAUGAUCAGGGGACAGAGGCCAGGAGGGGCCAACAGCACCUAAGUCGGUGAUGCAGAUGGGUACAGAGGAGUUGGAUGCCAGGAUUCGGGAAAUCCUGCAUGAUGAGGUUGUUGCUGCAUUCCGGGCUCAGUUACCGGAGAUGUUCGGGUCGAUUAAGACCGCCAUGGUGGAGUAUUUUGAUGAGCGCUACGCAGCCCAUGCUGAGACAGCUGCAUCGGCUGUAUAAGCAGCAGGGGGAGGAGCUGGUAGAGGUUUUCAGUAUAGGGACUUCGAUAACACGAAGACCCAUACUUUUGAUGGGACGCAGGAUCCCAUCAAGGCUAUGAGAUGGAUUUCAUAUGUGGAGGGGUGUUUCUUCACCUGCUCGUGUCCUGUUGACCAGAGGGUCAGGUGUGCUUUGAACCUGCUUAGGUUUGGGGCCAAGGACUGGUGGAGGCUUGCGACUGGGUUGUACGCUGAUGAGCAGAGAGCUGUUGUUACUUAGGAGCAGUUCAGAGACAUGUUUCGCGCCCGUUACAUUCUAUAGGUUGAGCGGGAGCGGUUGGCACAGGAGUUCCUGAGUUUGAGAUAGGAUGGGCAGUCGGUGAUGGAGAUCACCCGUAUGUUCACUGAGCGGGCGAUGUUCUCCCCAGAGUUUGCUUCCGAGUAGUCUCAGAUGACUCGUUAUCUAAGUAUGCUCAAGACUAAUAUCCGACAGUUUGUAUCUACCCAGCGAUGUGAUACUCUUCUGGAGUUACAGGAGGCCGCUAGACGGCAGGAGUUAGAGAUUGAGUUGCAGCUGAGGGAGCAGCGGCCGGCCCCGACACAGUCGCAGUUGGCGCCGAAGCGGUCAAAGACCGCUGAUUUGAGGUCUGGGAGUCAGCAGAGCCGCUCUUGUGGAAAGUGCGGAAGGGUUCAUUUCGGGAUUUGUCGAGCCAGUAGUGGGUGCCAUAGGUGUGGCAAGGAGGGGCACUAUGCGAAGGAUUGUCGCCAGGCCGCUCCCAUACCGAGUAUGAAGUUAUGUUACCAUUGUGAUCAGGUUGGCCAUUUGAAGGCCAACUGCCCGUUACUCGCCGCUAAACCGCCGCAGGCUCCAGCGCCGACUACUUUGAGGAUCACGGAUGGGAGACCAGUUAGGGCAAAGCCUCCGAAGGCUCAGGGUCGUGCCUUCCAGCUUAUAGCGGAGAAGGCCAGAGCAGCACCAGAUGUGGUUGCUGGUAUGUUUNNNNNNNNNNNNNNNNNNNNNNNNNNNNNNNNNNNNNNNNNNNNNNNNNNNNNNNNNNNNNNNNNNNNNNNNNNNNNNNNNNNNNNNNNNNNNNNNNNNNAAUUAAUCUAAGAGUUGAUUCUAAAAUGUGUUUGUGUAACUUGUUAACCAGGAAGGGAUUUUGGUUACAAGAGGUCCAGUUCCUCGGACAUCUUGUUAACCAGGAAGGGAUUUUGGUCGAUCCGGCCAAAAUUGAGGCGGUUAUGCAGUGGGAGAUUCCGAAAUCACCCUCGGAUAUUAGGAGUUUUCUGGGAUUGGCAGGGUAUUAUCGGAGGUUCAUUCAAAAUUUAUCCAAGAUUGCAGUACCCCUCACUCGUUUGACGAGGAAGGGGGUGGAUUUCCGGUGGGGCCUCGAGCACCAGAGGGCGUUUGAGACCCUCUGUCAGCGUUUGAGUGAGGCACCAGUCUUGACAUUCCCAGAGGGAGUUGAGGAUUUUGUGGUGUUCUGUGAUGCAACCAUCACAGGUUUAAGGACGUCCUUAUGCAGAGAGGACGAGUGAUAGCCUACGCAUCGCGGCAGCUGAAGCCGCAUGAGACGAGAUACCCGAUGCAUGACUUGGAGCUGGGAGCGGUGGUGUUCGCCCUCAAGAUAUGGAGACAUUACCUCUAUAGGGUCCGCUGUACCAUUUACACGGAUCACAAGAGCUUGAGACAUAUCAUGGAUCAGCCGAACCUGAACAUGAGGCAGCGCAUGUGGUUAGAUGUAGUCAAGGACUACGAUUACGAGAUCCUUUACCAUCCUGGUAAAGCGAAUGUGGUUGCGGAUGCCUUGAGCCGCAAGUCAGCUGGGUCUUCCACCUCCAAGGUAUGUAUGAGGAUAGCGGUGGAUUCUCCACUUGUGAGUUUGAUCAGAGAUACCCAGGUAGAGGACAUGCGACCGGAGAAUUGGAAGGUGGAGAGGAUCAAGGGUGAUAAUACCCGGUUCGUGCAGGAUAGUCGGGGACUAUUGACCCGAUGUGGUCGGGUUUGGGUUCCGAUGUCUGGUGGGGUUAGGCAGACGGUUAUGGAGGAGGCUCAUAAGUCUCAUUUCUCUAUUCACAUAAGGGCCACCAAGAUGUACCGGGAUUUGAGUUUGAGCUAUUGGUGGCCGUGCAUGAAGCGAGAGAUCGCUUGGUACGUCGAGAGAUGCUUGACCUGUAGGAUGGUCAAGGCCGAGCAUCAGAGGCAUCAUGGAAAGCUGCAGCCUCUAGAGAUUCUCAUGUGGAAAUGGGAAUAGAUCACAAUGGAUUUUAUUACCAAGUUGUCGAGGACGGCGAAGGGGUUUGAUGCUAUAAGGGCCAUCAUGGAUCGAUUGACCAAGAGUGCCCAUUUUUUGGCUAUAUGGGUGAGCUCAUCGGCCGAGAAAUUGGCCGAAGUGUACUUUCGCGAGAUCGUAUCUCGCCAUGGGGUUCCCGUUUCCAUUGUCUCUGAUCGGGAUGUUAGGUUUACCUCUUGCUUCUGGCAAAAGUUUCACGAGGAGCUGCGCAUGCGGUAGCACUUCAGCACAUCAUUCCACCCGCAGACAGACAGCCAGAGCGAGUGGACUAUUCAGACCCUCGAGGACAUGUUGAGGGUGUGUGUCAUUGAUUUUGGUGGGAGUUGGGAUUCUCACCUACCGCUUGCGGAGUUCGCCUACAACAACCGCUAUCAUUCUAGCCUUUGCGCCCCGCCUUUCGAGCUGUUGUACGGGCGGAGAUGUCGCACCCAGGUUUGUUGGGGAAAGGUUGGCCACAGGGUGAUGGGUAGGAUGGAGGUGGUCUUGCAGACUACCGAGAAGAUUCAGCAGAUUAGGCAGCGGCUGCAGACCGCUCAGAGUCGGCAGAAGAGUUACGCCGACCGGCGCUGCUCCGAGUUAGAGUCUCAGGUCGGUGACAUGGUACUCCUAAAGGUAUCUCCCUGGAAAGGCGUGAUUCGCUUCAGGAAGAGGGUAAAAUUGGGUUCCCGAUAUAUUGGGUCGUUCAGAAUCAUUUCUAGGGUUGGCAAGGUAGCUUACAGGCUAGAGCUACCGGAGGAGCUUAGUCGGAUACACAACAUUUUCCACGUGUCGCAGCUGCGAAAGUGCAUUAUGGAUCAAGAGGAGGUGGUGCCGCUGAAUGAUAUUCAGGUUAAUGAACGCCUGAAUUUCAUAGAGAGGCAUGUGGUCGUACUGGAGAAGAAGAUGAAGAUUCUGAAGAAUAAGGAGAUACCUUUGGUGAAAGUUCAAUGGGACCAUCGGAGAGGGUCUGAGUGGACGUGGGAGUCGGAGGUUGAAAUGUGGGAGCAUUACCCUGAGUUAUUCGUUGCAGCAGACUUCUAGGGCGAACUAGUUCAAGUGCGGGAGAGUUGUAACGCCCCGAUUCUCAGGUACUGAUUUAAUCUAUGAAUUCUUAGUUUCAAGGGCUACUCGACGAGUUGAUUGCCCUACUCGUCGAGUAGCAGCGAGUUGGUCCACGCAUUUUAAUGACCUACUCGCCGAGUCCAAGAAGGGACUCGACGAGUAGGAGUUAGUAGGUGAAACCCUAAAUUUUGGGAAUUUACACCCUAUUUAAAGGAUCAUUGGCCUCCCCCAGCCUCCCCUUUACUGCCCUUUGCCCCUCUCAACCCUAAAUCGUGUGUGUGUGUGUGUUCUUUUGGUGUGUUCAAGCUUGGAAAAGGAAACACUUGGGGAAAACAAGGAAAUCAAGGCUAGGAACUCGUGGGGAGCUAAGAGAUUCAUCAGUUGUCAUUCUCUGGAAGGUAUUAAGCUGUUCCUUUAGCUCAUCUCUCUUUUAACCUCUUUUGGAUGGGUCUUAUGAAAGGCUCCCCAUGUUUAAGCUAAGAUCUGAAGUUGUAACUUCAGAUCUGGACUCCCUUUGACCUCUAGAUCCAUAAAGUCAUCAGCCUUGCCUAGUAGGAGUCUUCCCUCAAGUGUGAGACUUCAUUGCAAGCUUAGUUUUGCCAUUUAAAGGUCUUAAAGCCUUGCAUACACGUAAAGUUUGUGACUUUACGUGAUAAACAUACCCUAGAAGCGUGGAUCUGUAAUUUGGAACCUUGCCUUGGCUUAAAACGCGUUUGCAUGAAUGAAGGUCUGCAAGGACUCGGCG